RNAcentral lists this microRNA precursor (65 nucleotides) under Petromyzon marinus (sea lamprey). Its description in RNAcentral is "miRNA (ENSPMAG00000012014.1)". Lineage: Eukaryota; Metazoa; Chordata; Hyperoartia; Petromyzontiformes; Petromyzontidae. The record is from RNAcentral.
UGUAUGUGUACAUAUUAGUACAUGUAUUUGUGUGCACGUGUAUGUGUGUAUAUAUAGUACAUGUA